Molecule: non-coding RNA, 61 nt
Filed under: uncultured eukaryote
Lineage: Eukaryota
Source: RNAcentral
CCAACUCCAAGAUGAGCUUUCAGUGGACGGAAGUGUCAGGCAAGCUCGGGCUGUCCAGCAG